This is a long non-coding RNA of Lolium rigidum, 525 nucleotides long. RefSeq lists it as uncharacterized. The record is from RefSeq and is a predicted model, not a curated record. Lineage: Eukaryota; Viridiplantae; Streptophyta; Magnoliopsida; Poales; Poaceae. The transcript has 2 exons.
UCGUUAUUUAUUUUUGUUUGCACCCUGCAUGUAAUUUCUUUACUUUGUAAAUGAGAGAAGAUAUUGGUUGUUGAGAAUGGUGUUUCAUUGAAUGAUUCCAUCUAGUUCCUUGAGGUGAAUGAAAACUGCUAGCAUAGAGAUGCUUGGGGGGUAUCUUAAUUUCUCUACACCAAAGUGUAUCAUAGAGUUGAUUCAGAUAUUAAAAGGUGAACUGGACAAACUCCUCCAGAGAAAGAUUAAGGAACCGGCAAUAGACAUCUUUUCAGAAGGGAAAGGGGUUGUGGCUGCUUCCAUAGAACUGUUCGAGAAUACAUUUUGCUUGCAUUGAAGCUGGAGUAGCAAUUUCUUCUUCACCCAUUUGUCUUUCCCUUGCCUACUAGUUGAAUGUAUCAUUUUGUUGUGUGAAUGUUGUGGAGCAGCAAAUAUUCUUGUCAAAAUUCUAUGAGGAAACAUCGCAGUACAACUGAGAUUUCGUAUUGCAUUUUAUUUUAUUUGGAAAUAAAAUGUACACCCUCCGUUUCAAAA